Long non-coding RNA from Mercenaria mercenaria, 1923 nucleotides. RefSeq lists it as uncharacterized. The transcript is spliced from 3 exons. The record is from RefSeq and is a predicted model, not a curated record. NCBI's taxonomy places the organism in Eukaryota, Metazoa, Mollusca, Bivalvia, Venerida, Veneridae.
GGGUGUCAGCUUGGUUAAUGCAUCAUUUCUUAUUUAAGUUCUAAUCAGCGGUUGUAGGCGUUUAUAAUAACAAACAUUUCGUAAGCUUUAUACAAAUGUUAAAAAGUUUUAUUAAUCCAUUCAUUUUAAUAGUCGGUAGAUACUACAAUAUUUAAGAAUGUAGCGACUGAUCACCCGCCACCCCGUGUACAAAUAAUGAAAGCAUCCAAUUCAAAACGCGAGGUUUUUGUGUAGUGUGUAUAACCAACUACGGCUGCAGAAUAUACAGUCUCUGGUGUUUAUGGAAAGGAUUGUUUACCUAGAGGCAGCUUGGUAUGACAUGUUGCAAAGCAUUCUGUUUGAUUAACAGAUAAUAGAUACUGCAGACACUAAGCAAAUUAUACUUACCUAGCAGUUGCAGUAUUCCAGCCAUGGAGUCAUAAUCUUAGAAUAAAGGUCUCGGUGUUUAGGUGAAUCUGAGGAAAGUCCAAAAUAUUGCAACUGUUCCAGUUGUUAAAAUUGUAAGCAAAGACGUAUGCUGGCUUUAACACAUCAACAAGACAACAAAACACUCAUUUCAUAUGCUGGCUCCAGUGAUGUUAAUUCAGCUGCAGAUACUUCUGUUCUCAAAUAUGUAUCGACAGUACCUGUGUCAGAUGUACUGGCAAACAUGUUAUAUCUUCAUUUUUGUCGAGCCCGCUUGCGGAAGCAAAGAUAGAUGUCCAAAUGGCUGUUCUGUGUAUGUGCGUGUGUGCGUCCGUCCGUCCGUCAGGAUUUGUUUGUCCGGACCAUAACUUUGAUAUGCGUGGAGCAAUCUCGUUUAUAUUUGGCAUGAAUGUUAACCUCAGUGAGACGGAGUGUCAUGCGCAAACUGCAGGUUCCUAUCUCAAAGGUCAAGGUCACACUUGGAGGUCAAAGGUUAAAUUCAAUAAUGACUGUCCGGAGCAUUAAUUUUCUUCUUCAUGCAUGGAGGGAUUUUGAUGUAACUUGGCACAAAUGUUCACAACCAUGUGACAGAGUGUCAUGCACAAGAACCAGGACCCUAGGUCUAACUAUAAGGUCAAGGUCAAACUUAGAGAUCAAAGUUCCUGAGCAUUUCUUUUUCAUGCAUAGAGGAAUUUUGAUGUAACUUGGCACAAUUGUUCACCAUCAUGAGAUGGAGUGUCAUGUGCAAGAACCUAGAAUUACUUCCCUUUGUUGUUACUAUAAAUAGCUUAUAUUGAACUUUUUUAUUACUGGUCGUAGGGAAAAAUCAAGACCACUUUUCUGUAGUACAAUAUGCAUGUUACAUCCAAUUUUGAGGUGUAUUUAGACCUAUCUCUACUGGUAUGGAUUUUUGUGUGGACUUAGAUUUUUUUAAAGAUUUACUUCCCUUUGUUGUUACUAUGAAUACAGGUAACGUAUUUUGUAACUUUUUGCAAUCAUUUUUUAUUUGGCAUAAAUGUUUGCCUUAAUGAGACAGGGUGUCAUGUGCAACUCCUAGUCCUUUUGACAGCUGGCGGGCUUGACAUGUUGACCGUGGGCAUCUAGUGUUAAAACUUUCCUAUAAACUGACUCUAGUACAACCAAGUACUGUAUGAUAAGAAUGUGUUAUGGCAGAUCUCGCCUCAUAAACAUUCAUAUUCAUAUAGACAAACACACCAAGAACAGGAGUCUGCAGCAAACCUGCUUUAUAAAUGAAGGGACAUUAGUGACUGGAUUCCUUUCCCUUAUUCAGACUGUCCUUUGAUCUUUAUAGAUAAAUCUGUUUUAGUUGGACAUUCAUUUCUUUUGUGGUUUUGCAACUUGACAUUUUAGUUCUUUCUUAGAGUUAAUGCUUUUACUUUUGAAAAUAUGAAAACAAUAUUAUUUUAAUGUGAUUUUUGCAUAUAAUGUAUGUUUGUUUGAUGAAAUGUUUAUCUUUGAAAUUUAUUUGUAAGUUAAAGAAUAUAUAUGUUGAUUUUU